UAAAGCGAAUAAGGGCGUAUGGCGGAUGCCUUGGCACUAAGAGGCGAUGAAGGACGUGGUAAGCUGCGAUAAGCUUCGGGUAGAUGCAUACAAUCGUUAAUCCGAAGAUCUCCGAAUGGGACAACCCGGUAUGUUGAAGACAUAUCACUCGAAAGAGAGCUAACGCAGGGAACUGAAACAUCUAAGUACCUGUAGGAAGAGAAAAUAAUUUAAUGAUUCCCCAAGUAGUGGCGAGCGAACAGGGAAGAGCCCAAACCGUGUCUACGUGUAGAUGCGGGGUUGUAGGACCACAUUUAGAAAUCAAUCUCAAACCGAACGAUCUGGAAAGAUAGACCAUAGCAGGUGAUAGUCCUGUAGGUAGAAAUGAUUGAGGACGCGUGGUAUCCUGAGUAGCGCGGGACCGGAGGAAUCCUGCGUGAAACUGCCAGCACCAUCUGGUAAGGCUAAAUACUCCUUAGUGACCGAUAGUGAACCAGUACCGUAAGGGAAAGGUGAAAAGUACUCCGAAUAGGAGAGUGAAAUAGUACCUGAAACCGUACGCCUACAAGCGGUCGGAGCCUGUUAAAGGGUGACGGCGUGCCUUUUGCAUAAUGAUCCUACGAGUUGCUCCUCACUGGCGAGGUUAAGUUCUUAAGUAACGGAGCCGCAGCGAAAGCGAGUCCAAACAGGGCGCUUUAGUCAGUGGGGGCAGACGCGAAACUUUGUGAUCUAUCCAUGGGCAGGUUGAAGGUUAGGUAAAACUAACUGGAGGACCGAACUCAUUAACGUUGAAAAGUUAUGGGAUGACCUGUGGAUAGGGGUGAAAGGCCAAUCAAACUGAGAGAUAGCUCGUUCUCCCCGAAAUGUUUUUAGGAACAGCGUUGCAUAAUAGAAGUGUAUCAGAGGUAGAGCUACUGAUUGGGCUAGGGGGCUUCACCGCCUACCAAACCCUGACAAACUCCGAAUGCUGAUACAUAUCUGCAGCAGUGAGGCUGUGGGCGCUAAGGUCCAUGGCCGAGAGGGAAAUAACCCAGACCAUCAUCUAAGGUCCCUAAAUCUAUGUUAAGUUGAUCAAACGAAGUUCGAACCCUAAGACAGCCAGGAUGUUGGCUUGGAAGCAGCCAUUCAUUUAAAGAGUGCGUAACAGCUCACUGGUCGAGGGUUCGGGCACGGAAAAUAAUCGGGCAUCAAACAUAGUACCGAAGUUAUGGAUUAAUACUACCGUAUUAGUGGUAGGGGAGCAUUCUAUUCGGCGUCGAAGGUGUAUCGUGAGGUAUGCUGGAGCGGAUAGAAAAGAAAAUGUAGGAAUGAGUAACGAUAAAUAUUGUGAAAAACAAUAUCGCCGAAAGACUAAGGGUUCCUGAUCAACGUUAAUCGGAUCAGGGUUAGUCGGGACCUAAGGCAAACCCGAAAGGGGUAGUCGAUGGCAAACUGGUUAAUAUUCCAGUACCCACUUUAAUUUCGAUGGGGUGACAGAGAAGUGAAACGUCCGCGUACUUACGGAAUAGUACGUUAAAGGGUGUAGUUAUACUACUGGUAGGCAAAUCCGCCGGUGGUGAUGAACCUGAUAGUACCAGAAGGCUUCGGCUGGAUGGAUAGUGACGCUAAUCCUGCUCGCGAGAAAAACCUCUAAGGCUAGGUUAAAGUGGCUCGUACCGUAAACCGACACAGGUAGUCGAGAUGAGUAUUCUAAGGCGCUCGGGUGAGCCGUGGAGAAGGAACUAGGCAAAUUAACGCUGUAACUUCGGGAUAAAGCGUACCAUAGCGAUAUGGUCACAGUAAAAUGGUUCAACCAACUGUUUAGCAAAAACACAGGGCCCUGCAAAAUCGAAAGAUGACGUAUAGAGCCUGAUACCUGCCCGGUGCUGGAAGGUUAAGGAAGGGUGUUCGUAGCAAUACAAAGCUCCUGACUGAAGCCCCAGUAAACGGCGGCCGUAACUAUAACGGUCCUAAGGUAGCGAAAUUCCUUGUCGGGUAAGUUCC
RNAcentral lists this ribosomal RNA (1962 nucleotides) under sludge metagenome. Its description in RNAcentral is "bacterial LSU rRNA". It matches the Rfam family "Bacterial large subunit ribosomal RNA", at positions 1 to 1984 of the family's 2925-position model. The record is from RNAcentral.